CUAGCUUGCUAGUUGCUGACGAGUGGCGGACGGGUGAGUAACGCGUAGGAAUCUACCGAGUAGUGGGGGACAACAGUUGGAAACGACUGCUAAUACCGCAUAAUCCCUGAGGGGGAAAGGAGGGGAUCUGUUUACAGACCUUUCGCUACUUGAUGAGCCUGCGUGAGAUUAGCUAGUUGGUGAGGUAAUGGCUCACCAAGGCGACGAUCUCUAGCUGGUCUGAGAGGAUGAUCAGCCACACUGGAACUGAGACACGGUCCAGACUCCUACGGGAGGCAGCAGUGGGGAAUAUUGCACAAUGGGGGAAACCCUGAUGCAGCCAUGCCGCGUGUGUGAAGAAGGCCUUCGGGUUGUAAAGCACUUUCAGCGAGGAGGAAAGGUUGGUAGUUAAUAACUGCUAGCUGUGACGUUACUCGCAGA
This 420-nucleotide ribosomal RNA is filed under the name uncultured Gammaproteobacteria bacterium. Its description in RNAcentral is "bacterial SSU rRNA". It matches the Rfam family "Bacterial small subunit ribosomal RNA", at positions 75 to 485 of the family's 1533-position model. Lineage: Bacteria; Pseudomonadati; Pseudomonadota; Gammaproteobacteria. The record is from RNAcentral.